UACGGGGGGGGCAAGCGUUGUUCGGAAUUACUGGGCGUAAAGGGCUCGUAGGCGGCCAACUAAGUCAGACGUGAAAUCCCUCGGCUUAACCGGGGAACUGCGUCUGAUACUGGAUGGCUUGAGGUUGGGAGAGGGAUGCGGAAUUCCAGGUGUAGCGGUGAAAUGCGUAGAUAUCGGGAGGAACACCUGCGGCGAAGGCGGGUUGCUGGGCUGACACUGACGCUGAGGCGCGAAAGCCAGGGGAGCGAACGGG
RNAcentral lists this ribosomal RNA (253 nucleotides) under uncultured bacterium. RNAcentral describes it as "partial 16S ribosomal RNA". It matches the Rfam family "Bacterial small subunit ribosomal RNA", at positions 524 to 776 of the family's 1533-position model. The record is from RNAcentral.